RNAcentral lists this long non-coding RNA (6068 nucleotides) under Sus scrofa (pig). RNAcentral describes it as "lncRNA (ENSSSCG00000057714.1)". Lineage: Eukaryota; Metazoa; Chordata; Mammalia; Artiodactyla; Suidae. The record is from RNAcentral.
GAGUUGUGCUCCUUUAGCAGUAUUAGCAAGAAGAAAAUUCUUAAAGUGAAGAUAUGUAUUUCUACUAUCAACUUAUAAAAUGGGAAAAAUAUUUUUCCUUAAAACUAAUAGCUAUCAUGUAAUAUAUUUUUAUAGAUCUCAAAAUAUUGCUGGAAAAUACAUAUUUAUACAACCCUUGCAACUCUUUGAUUUCAGUAGUUACUUUAUUUAUAUCUGGAAGAUAAUAGCGUCUCUGAGAGUUUAAGCAACUUGCCCUACGGUACUUAACUAGGAAGGGGAAGAUGCUUUUACCACACUGCUACUCUAUGUAUUUCAUAUCACUGAAAUUGAACACAAUCUCUCAAAACUUUUACAAUCAGUUAGAUCCAAGUUUUGUGAAUGAAAGAUAUCAGGAUGGUGUUUGCAAUAGUUAAAAACAAAAUGAAGAGAGUUUCUCUUGUGGCUAAGCUGGUUAAGUACCCAACACAGUGUCUUUGAGAUGUGGGUUCAAUCUUUGGCCUUGCUCAGUGUGUUAAGGAUCCAGCAUUGCCUCAAGCUGCAGUGUAGUUCUCAGAUGCAGCUCAGAUCAUGUGUUGCUGUGACUGUGCCAUAGUCCAUUGUCCAGCAGCUGCAGCUCUGAUUUGACCCCUAGCCCUGGAACUUCCAUAUGCUGUGAGUGUGGCUGUUAAAAAAAAAAAACAACAACAGACUUUUCCUCCCUGCUAUGGUUCUGAAUUAUUGUUGUAAAAUUCAAAAUUUUUUGGCCAUUUGUUAUGUUUCUAGAAUUAAUGCAAAAUUUACCAGAACAAAAUUAUACUACUCAUUUUAAUACUGAAAUAUAAUUUUUUUCUUAAAAAGUUAAAAUAUUUUCUCUAAUAUUUUAUAGUCAAUUCAUAUUUUUAUUAUUUUUACUACAUAAUUAUACAAAAGGUCAUUGUCUUAUUUCAAACAUGAAAUUUACUACUAAUAGAGUAAAACAAAUUAUUUAUAAUAAAUCAUUUUUUAUUUAAGGAUGACAGUAUUGAUAAUUUGAAGUUAAAGGAAUUCUAACCUCUUUCCUGAUCUAUUGAUUUUUGGAAUGCUAUUCGAAAAUUCCCUUAUAAUUAUUGAAAUUUAAUCCAAAAUUUUCCACUUUGUUUUUUCCCAAAAGUCUAAUUAAAUAAGCUGCAUUCAGAUAUAUAGCAUUUUUUAUUGCUUUGUUGGUCUAUUUUAUAUGUCCUUAUAAAUUAAAAAAACAUUGAGUAUUAUUUGCACAGUCUGUUGGAACUUAUAUUGAAGUUCUAAGGCACAUCCUUUAUUUCAAUGGAAUUUUUGCUUGAGAAUUAUAGAAACAUUCCUAUUAGUAUCAUUAUACAAUUAGGUCAUAGAACAGUAGGCUUUUUACUUAUUUUUUUAAUAUGAGUAUGAGGACUUACAUUUGUAAAACAUUUGUUACAUUAAGGGACCUAUUUGGCACAUGUUUCUUUUCAUUUCAUACCAUUAUUGAUGUAAAAUUUAAUGUUGGAAGAUUCCUAAUUCAUUUGUUGAUAAAUAGGAGACCAGCUUUGCUCUCUAUAGGAUUACUGUGUUUUAUCUUUUCUUCAUUAAAUUGUCAGGGCUGCUAUCCUCAAUCACGAGUACAUCCUGUACAUUAAUGUACAAUAAUGAUUGGUGAUAUAAAAUUGCACUGGAGAGCAUUUCAAUUUUUGAACUUCCUGGUUUUAGGUUUUAGUUAAUUAUACUAUUAUUGAUGUGUAUGUGGGGAUGUCAUUAAUAUCUAUCUCCCAAAUGCCUCAUUUACUGACUGAUAAAAGACAAGGCAUUCAGGAUGGUAUGUUAAGUCUCCAGGCAAAAACAACACUAUAGAGUGAAUUAUAAUAGAAUUAUUAUUAUAUUUGGGUUUUCUUUAUUCAAAUCAUUAGUGGUAAGCUUUGGAGAUGAUGGCAGGACCGUAUAUUCUUGGCCAAUUAUUCUAUCAAUGUACACCCCAGCCAUACUUAUGAUAUUAUAGAAUUACAAAACAGAAUGAGAGCUUCUCUUCAAACACCCUCAUUUUAGAGAGGCAUAAAUUGUAGUCCAGAAAGAUUAAAGAAUUUGUGAUAUCAUAAAGAUACUGACAUAUCUGGAGAUAAGAAGAAAUGAGACCUGACCUUCAGUACAUAAAUUUGGGAGAAUUCAAGCUUUUCCACUUAUUGGCUAUGUGAUAUUUGGCAAUUUUUGUAACCUAUAUGAUUUUCAUUUGUUCUGUGUUUAUAAUGACUACUUCAUAGGUUUGUGUGAUAGGAAAUGGCAGAUAUACAGUAAUCAUUGAAUUUCCUUCCUUUUAUUGUUUCAGAGAAACCCACCAUCAGAUCCAUCAGAUCUUAACAAUUAUUCUUAAUUAUAGUAUAUUAGAAAUAUUGUCUUUAUGAUUAUAGGUUAGUAAAUUUUAUUUAAAAUCAUCCUUUUUAAUCACAAAGCUAUUUAAAAAAAACAUUGUAUUUGGUGGUUGAGCAAAGGGAAGAGCAGUAAAACAUAAAGUUUGUUUCACUCUCACUGAAUCAGAAAUACACUGAAGCUAGAAAUACCUCGGUUUUUUAUUUCCUUGGGUAGAGGAUUCUUCAUAAUUUUUCCCCCUCUUUCUAUUGCAUUUGCAGGAAAAAGUGAAAAAUAAGUGCCAAUUUAUUUGAAACCUAUGAGCUCCUUUUGCCUCUUCUCUAUUUAGUCUUGCAAGCUCAGGCUCCAUGUGACCCUAUUAUCCUAGUAUCUGCCCCCACCACUGAGAACAAACUUAGUCCUGUAUAUGAUAUUGGUAAGAUAUUUCAAAGGUGUCAGAAUUCAGUUGUUUGUUGACUUGAAUUGCUUUUAUAGUUUAGAGUAUAGAAUGUAAUUGUUGAAAUCAUUUAUGUGAAAUAGAACUUUAAAUCUUGUGGCUAUUCUAAAAUUAAAAUGUGUCAAACCAUAUUCAUUUCUAUCCUUGUCUAUUCUAAAAGAGAAAUUAAGAAGUGAAUCUGAUAUUUUAAAAUGCCAGACAAGAACAGUUAAACUUACUAUAGACCUGUGGGUUAUUGAGACAAAUAUUUAGUUUGAGGCACCAUAGUCUUAGGAAUAGGGUUGUUACAGCAACUACCCAGCAGCCCUGUGCCACAGCAUAUCAGCUCUGGUGACAGCCCUGUGGCUGUAGCUACUAACUCCAGCAGCUCUGUGGCUUCAGUAUAUCAGCUCUUUUACCCAGCAAGAAACCAGGUGAGCACUAGGAGAGGUGGAGAACUCAGGUUUAUUACGCUGGCAGGCUCAGAGGAGAUCGAUCUCCAGAGUCUGAGCCCUGAAGAAGGGUUUCACAAGGCUUUUAUGGGCUACCUCUUCCGGGUCCAUGCUUGGCUAGUUGGACUGGAGUGAGUGACGUCAGGCAAGGCAGUAGAUGCGGAAACAAAUUUACAGAAGCAGAUGUGUGGGGGAGGGGUGGUUGGGGCAGUUGGCUAGACUUUGUUUAGUCGUCAUGGCCAGGGUCUCUCCCUUCUACAUUUUUAUUGGAACAUUUUCUCCUACAGGGUUACCUAAGAACAGUGUGCCAGCAAAUUCUUCCAAAUAAGAGGAAAAUGGAUGAUACCCUGAUUUUUAAAGAUAUGUUAAAUCUUUUUUCAAAAUGUAUUUGACAUAAAAGAUUAGUAUAAUUAUUAAUUGAUCAGGAGUAUACAACUUUUUGUUUUAGAAAAUAAUUAUAGGCAAACUAUCUGGAAUAGAAGUUCAUUAAUGAUAGGUUAGUUAUGAGUAAUAAAAUUUAUUAGGAUAGCUUAUAAAACAGUUAUUUAUAAUCCCUCAAUGGAUUACUUGCAUAACAGCAGCAAAAUUUCUUAAUUGCUUAAUAAUUAUUCAUAUUUUUCUAACUUUUAUGAGGUUACUAUAUAGUAAUUGAUGGCUGGCCAAACAUUGUCAUAUCAUGUUCAAAUCAUCUCUUUGAAUUGACACUACAUUUAUCCUCAUUUCGUAGUUGAGAUAACUGAGCAUCAGAAAGAUAAAAUACAUUUUUCUAAGGCUACUUAAGUCAACAUUUGAAUCCAGUUUUGUUUUUUAUUUCCAAGUCUUUAGUUUUGUAUUAUACCUUAAUAGCAUAAAUAAGAAAUGCUGGGAUAAUGUGAAAAGAGAAGUGAAUUGAGAAUUCAAAAUGUGAAUCUUUGUCCUGAUUUUAUCAUUAUUCUGAUUUUAUAAUUGACUCAGUGUGGAAUUAAGAUAAGAACUUUGAAUUUACUGAAGCCCAGAAAACUUAACUUGCUCGACUCCACUAUUUAGGAUUUAAUAGACUUUAUAUGUACAUGGUACAUUAAAAGAGAAUACUAUUAAAAGAGAGUAUUACUACAAAUCAAGUAAAAUAAAAAGAUUUGAAACAAAUGAAUUAUAUUUGAAAAAUUUUGAAAGAAAUAUAGCUGAGCAGUACAAAAAGAGCCAUAUUGGGGAUCAAAGAAACAUUCUUUUGUUAUAUUUGGGUGACCAAACCAAUUUAUCUCCCUAGUUUUUUGUUUUUCCACCAUAUUUUCCCAGAAAAUAGAUAGCUACCAUUUUGGUUCACAUUUCUUGAUUCUGUCUGCCUUCUCAAUGUUUUCAAUCUCCUCUAUCUCUUCUAUCUCUUCUUUGGACCUGGAUCUUUCUAGAUAUAAAUACAUGGAAUUUUAAAAUAUUGAAAUAAUUUAUUUGAAAUAGAACUUUAAAUCUUUGGCUAUUCCAAAAGUAACAUAUUAUAUGUGUCAAACCAUAUUCAUUUCUAUCCUUGUCUAAUUCUAAAUGAGAAAUUUAAGAAGUGAAUCUGAUAAAAAGAUGGAAAAUUUUAGUUGAAAUAUCAACAGCAAUGUUAUGUCUAGAAUCAGGCUCAGUACAUAUAUUGAUAAACAACUUUUAGUUCUGAAUGUUACCAUAUAGGUCUCCACAGUGUCAUGAUAUCCUGGUCAUCUAUUUGCUUGGGUGCUUAUAUUGAAAUUCUUUCUCUGUCUUCAUGCCUCACUGAGUGACCCCAGGGCUUUCUGAGUGUCCUCGCAUUACUUCCUACUCAGAGUAUUUUCCAUCACAGCCCAGGGUAAGCAUUGGCAUGCGCUUCUCAAGUGCUUGUUAAAAAUGCAGAAUCAUAAGACCUCCAGACUUACUGAAUCAGAACAAUAUCUCCAGAUGUUUCCAUUCACAUUUAUUUAUUUAUUUUUAAUAUUAUUAAUCACAAUCCAUACUUUAUUUAAUUUACAGGAGAUCCUGCUGAGUAGCAUUGAGAACUAUGUCUAGAUACUCAUAUUUCAACAGAACAAAGGGUGGGGGAAAAAUGUAUACAUGUAAGAAUAACUUGAUCCCCAUGCUGUACAGUGGGAAAAAAAAUUAAAAUAAAUAAAUAAAUAAAAAAAAAAAGAAGAGGACACCAGGGCUUGCUCUCUCUCUACCAUAUGAAGACACAGCCUGCAUUCCAUUCACAUUUAAAUUUGAGAACCACUCUUUGCUCUUCAUCAUCUCAAAGGCAGACAUUCUUUCAUUAGAGCUCCCUUUGUUCUAAGUCCUCCAUGUCCUGAUUAUAUGGUUGUUAUUUUUGAAAAUAUGUCUUUAGUUCCCAUACAUGGUGGUUGUUCUGAUUGGUAUUACAGAAAAUAAAAGUGGAUCGGAGAUAGAGCUGUUAAGAGACUGGAAUAGACACUAAGUGCCCUCAUGUGCUAAACAUAUGGUCCCUUUUGGAUGUUCCAUGUAACUCCUACAGGUAGGCCAUGAAAGAGUUGCUUUUUAGAGUGAAGUCUUUACUGCCACUGUAACCCCAUAUUCAUUCACUCCUCCAUUUUCCUUAGCACAGUAGAAUUAUACCUCAUAUAUUUUUGGGGUGCUGAAUGCUAUGCAGCUAAACCCUAUGAAGGUAACAAUAAUUGAUUAUAAAUUUUAAAAUAGUAGGAAUUGAAAACUGUGAAUUUGUUCAUGAGCAAUUAGCGAAUAUCUUGAGAUUUUUAAGCUAUUUCAUUACAGUCCUACAGAUGAACUUUUAAAAGAUUUGAUAAACACCAAAUUCUAAAAAGUAAGGCCUCUUCAAUUUUUAAAUGAGCAUUUCAUCAGCUUUUCUUGCUUGAAUGCAAAUGAUCUAAUCUAGAUAGCCUAUGGAAGUCUGAAAGCUGUUU